Molecule: long non-coding RNA, 1016 nt
Organism: Sapajus apella (tufted capuchin)
Lineage: Eukaryota; Metazoa; Chordata; Mammalia; Primates; Cebidae
Exons: 2
Source: RefSeq, a predicted model, not a curated record
AAUUGGGAAAUUUGCCUGUAUCUUAAAACCUCUGUUUCAAAGUUUCCUGCUAUGCUGGCGCCAAUCUAAUGAAAUUACAAUCUUCUGUGCUCAGCCUGACUCACUGAGGAGGACAGCUCCCUUCAAAGAAGGCCUUCAGGUGACCUGCAGGAAGCCCUUGGGGAAAAAUGGAGCUAAAGAAGACAAGGCUUAUACAGAGCUGAGUAAAAUAUGGCAGUAACCUACGAGUUCUGGAUAGAUAAAGUUUUUUAACUGCUAUAUGUGAACAUUAUUAUUACUAAUUACAAAUAUUAAUAACAGUGAUUUCAAUGUUUUCAUUGUAUUAACCAUGAUUUAAUGCAUAUUCCCUGAAUGCCAGAUGCAGUGCACAGUAACAUAUUUUAUUUAUCCUGCAGCAACCUCAUGAGAAAGAUGCUGUUACCACCAUCAUUUGUUUGGAUGAGAAAAUUGAAGCUCGGGAAAUUAGGAACUAUGCAAGGCACUAUGAUGAGGAAUUGGUGGAACCAGCAUUGAAGUCCAGGUUUGUUUUAUGCUGAAGCUUAUAAUCCUAAUAUUAUACAAAAGCCUGUUAGUUCCUUCAUUUACCAUCCCUUAUUAAUUAGUCAUACUGGAACCUGAGCCAGGUAAACUCAUUUCUUUCCAAAAAGGAGUACCCUAUCCUAUGACAGAAAGGAAAAAAUCAGCAGCUGGUUAUUGGUAAGAUUUGGUAGAAGAUCAGAAUUUCACUGGUCUAACAAUCUGUUUUCUACUCUACCUGUUUUCUAUAGGCCUGAGAUUCCUGUGAGUUGCCACAAAACGACUGUGUUCAAUUUUCACCUUGUAAUGUUUAAGAGGAUACAGGGGCAGUGACAGAAGAAGACAACUCUUCACCAUCAACAGAGCUAAACUGCUUCUUAGGAAUAUUUCCUGACAUCACAUAGUAUCUGACAAAUUUGAAACAAGACAAAACAUUAAGGAGAAAAGAAGAGUGAAAAAAAAUCCUCUAUUAAAUAAAAUGUAAAUGUGAGAAGGGUAAA